GAUCCUGGCUCAGAAUCAACGCUGGCGGCGUGCCUAACACAUGCAAGUCGAACGAGAAAGGGUAGCAAUACCUGAGUAAAGUGGCGCACGGGUGAGUAACACGUGACUAACCUACCCUGGAGUGGGGAAUAACUGAGGGAAACCUUAGCUAAUACCGCAUAAUACCUACGGGUCAAAGGAGCAAUUCGCUUCAGGAGGGGGUCGCGGCCGAUUAGUUAGUUGGCGGGGUAAUGGCCCACCAAGACAGUGAUCGGUAUCCGGCCUGAGAGGGCGCACGGACACACUGGAACUGAAACACGGUCCAGACUCCUACGGGAGGCAGCAG
RNAcentral lists this ribosomal RNA (325 nucleotides) under Acidobacteria bacterium enrichment culture clone C02_08_S22. RNAcentral's name for it is "bacterial SSU rRNA". It matches the Rfam family "Bacterial small subunit ribosomal RNA", at positions 15 to 354 of the family's 1533-position model. Lineage: Bacteria; Pseudomonadati; Acidobacteriota. The record is from RNAcentral.